This 2835-nucleotide ribosomal RNA is filed under the name Proteus mirabilis BB2000. RNAcentral describes it as "bacterial LSU rRNA". It matches the Rfam family "Bacterial large subunit ribosomal RNA". The record is from RNAcentral. Lineage: Bacteria; Pseudomonadati; Pseudomonadota; Gammaproteobacteria; Enterobacterales; Morganellaceae.
UUAAGCGAAUAAGCGUACACGGUGGAUGCCUAGGCAAUCAGAGGCGAUGAAGGACGUGCUAAUCUGCGAAAAGCGUCGGUAAGGUGAUAUGAACCGUUAUACCCGACGAUAUCCGAAUGGGGAAACCCAGUAUCCAAUGGAUACUAUCAUUAACUGAAUCCAUAGGUUAAUGAGGCGAACCGGGAGAACUGAAACAUCUCAGUACCCCGAGGAAAAGAAAUCAACCGAGAUUCCCCUAGUAGCGGCGAGCGAACGGGGAGCAGCCCAGAGUCUUAAUCAAUAGCAGUGUCAGGAGAACGGUCUGGAAAGUCCGGCAGUAAAGGGUGAUAGCCCCGUAUCUGAAGAUGCUGUUAUUGUGAACUCGACGAGUAGGGCGGGACACGUGUUAUCCUGUCUGAAUAUGGGGGGACCAUCCUCCAAGGCUAAAUACUCCUGAUUGACCGAUAGUGAACCAGUACCGUGAGGGAAAGGCGAAAAGAACCCCGGCGAGGGGAGUGAAAAAGAACCUGAAACCGUGUACGUACAAGCAGUAGGAGCCUCUUUAUGGGGUGACUGCGUACCUUUUGUAUAAUGGGUCAGCGACUUAUAUUCUGUAGCAAGGUUAACCGUAUAGGGGAGCCGUAGGGAAACCGAGUCUUAACUGGGCGAAUGAGUUGCAGGGUAUAGACCCGAAACCCGGUGAUCUAUCCAUGGGCAGGUUGAAGGUUGGGUAACACUAACUGGAGGACCGAACCGACUAAUGUUGAAAAAUUAGCGGAUGACUUGUGGAUGGGGGUGAAAGGCCAAUCAAACCGGGAGAUAGCUGGUUCUCCCCGAAAGCUAUUUAGGUAGCGCCUCGUGAACUCAUCUUCGGGGGUAGAGCACUGUUUCGACUAGGGGGUCAUCCCGACUUACCAACUCGAUGCAAACUGCGAAUACCGAAGAAUGUUAUCACGGGAGACACACGGCGGGUGCUAACGUCCGUCGUGAAGAGGGAAACAACCCAGACCGCCAGCUAAGGUCCCAAAGUCAUGGUUAAGUGGGAAACGAAGUGGGAAGGCUCAGACAGCCAGGAUGUUGGCUUAGAAGCAGCCAUCAUUUAAAGAAAGCGUAAUAGCUCACUGGUCGAGUCGGCCCGCGCGGAAGAUGUAACGGGGCUAAACCAUGCACCGAAGCUGCGGCAGCGACACAAAGUGUUGUUGGGUAGGGGAGCGUUCUGUAAGCCUGCGAAGGUGUACUGUGAGGUAUGCUGGAGGUAUCAGAAGUGCGAAUGCUGACAUAAGUAACGAUAAUGCGGGUGAAAAACCCGCACGCCGGAAGACCAAGGGUUCCUGUCCAACGUUAAUCGGGGCAGGGUGAGUCGACCCCUAAGGCGAGGCUGAAAAGCGUAGUCGAUGGGAAACGGGUUAAUAUUCCCGUACUGGUGGUAACUGCGAUGGGGGAACGGAGAAGGCUAGGUUGUCCGGGCGACGGUCGUCCCGGUUCAAGCAGGUAGGCAGAGUGAUUAGGCAAAUCCGGUCACUUAAUGCUGAGAUGUGAUGACGAACCACCAAGGUGGUGAAGCAAUUGAUGCCCCGCUUCCAGGAAAAGCCUCUAAGCUUCAGGUUACCAACAAUCGUACCCCAAACCGACACAGGUGGUCAGGUAGAGAAUACUCAGGCGCUUGAGAGAACUCGGGUGAAGGAACUAGGCAAAAUGGUGCCGUAACUUCGGGAGAAGGCACGCUGGCGGUAGGUAAAGUCCCUCGCGGACGGCGCUGAAGCCAGUCGAAGAUACCAGCUGGCUGCAACUGUUUAUUAAAAACACAGCACUGUGCAAACACGAAAGUGGACGUAUACGGUGUGACGCCUGCCCGGCGGCCGUAACUAUAACGGUCCUAAGGUAGCGAAAUUCCUUGUCGGGUAAGUUCCGACCUGCACGAAUGGCGUAAUGAUGGCCAGGCUGUCUCCACCCGAGACUCAGUGAAAUUGAACUCGCUGUGAAGAUGCAGUGUACCCGCGGCAAGACGGAAAGACCCCGUGAACCUUUACUAUAGCUUGACACUGAACAUUGAGCCUUGAUGUGUAGGAUAGGUGGGAGGCUUUGAAGUGUGGACGCCAGUCUGCAUGGAGCCAACCUUGAAAUACCACCCUUUAACGUUUGAUGUUCUAACCUAGGCCCAUAAACUGGGUCGGGGACCGUGUCUGGUGGGUAGUUUGACUGGGGCGGUCUCCUCCUAAAGAGUAACGGAGGAGCACGAAGGUUGGCUAAGCAUGGUCGGACAUCAUGCGGUUAGUGCAAAGGCAUAAGCCAGCUUGACUGCGAGAGUGACGGCUCGAGCAGGUACGAAAGUAGGUCUUAGUGAUCCGGUGGUUCUGAAUGGAAGGGCCAUCGCUCAACGGAUAAAAGGUACUCCGGGGAUAACAGGCUGAUACCGCCCAAGAGUUCAUAUCGACGGCGGUGUUUGGCACCUCGAUGUCGGCUCAUCACAUCCUGGGGCUGAAGUAGGUCCCAAGGGUAUGGCUGUUCGCCAUUUAAAGUGGUACGCGAGCUGGGUUUAGAACGUCGUGAGACAGUUCGGUCCCUAUCUGCCGUGGGCGUUGGAAGAUUGAGAGGGGUUGCUCCUAGUACGAGAGGACCGGAGUGAACGCACCACUGGUGUUCGGGUUGUCAUGCCAAUGGCAUUGCCCGGUAGCUAAGUGCGGAAGAGAUAACCGCUGAAAGCAUCUAAGCGGGAAACUUGCCUCGAGAUGAGUCUUCCCUGUCGCUUUAAGCGACCUAAAGGAACGUUUAAGACUAAGACGUUGAUAGGCUGGGUGUGUAAGCGUAGCGAUACGUUGAGCUAACCAGUACUAAUGAACCGUGAGGCUUAACCUG